AGAGUUUGAUCCUGGCUCAGGAUGAACGCUGGCGGCGUGCCUAACACAUGCAAGUCGAACGAAGCACUUAACUCAGAUUUCUUCGGAAUGAAGAGUUUUGUGACUGAGUGGCGGACGGGUGAGUAACGCGUGGGUAACCUGCCUUAUACAGGGGGAUAACAGUUAGAAAUGACUGCUAAUACCGCAUAAGCACACAGUAUUGCAUGAUACAGUGUGAAAAACUCCGGUGGUAUAAGAUGGACCCGCGUCUGAUUAGCUGGUUGGUGGGGUAACGGCCUACCAAGGCGACGAUCAGUAGCCGGCCUGAGAGGGUGAACGGCCACAUUGGGACUGAGACACGGCCCAAACUCCUACGGGAGGCAGCAGUGGGGAAUAUUGCGCAAUGGGGGAAACCCUGACGCAGCAACGCCGCGUGAAGGAAGAAGGCCUUCGGGUUGUAAACUUUUGUCCUAUGGGAAGAAACAAAUGACGGUACCAUAGGAGGAAGCCACGGCUAACUACGUACCAGCAGCCGCGGUAAUACGUAGGUGGCAAGCGUUGUCCGGAUUUACUGGGUGUAAAGGGCGCGUAGGCGGGUAUUUAAGUCAGAUGUGAAAUACCGGGGCUCAACUCCGGGGCUGCAUUUGAAACUGGAUAUCUUGAGUGCAGGAGAGGUAAGUGGAAUUCCUAGUGUAGCGGUGAAAUGCGUAGAUAUUAGGAGGAACACCAGUGGCGAAGGCGACUUACUGGACUGUAACUGACGCUGAGGCGCGAAAGCGUGGGUAGCAAACAGGAUUAGAUACCCUGGUAGUCCACGCCGUAAACGAUGGAUACUAGGUGUAGGAGGUAUCGACCCCUUCUGUGCCGGAGUUAACACAAUAAGUAUCCCACCUGGGGAGUACGAUCGCAAGAUUGAAACUCAAAGGAAUUGACGGGGGCCCGCACAAGCAGUGGAGUAUGUGGUUUAAUUCGAAGCAACGCGAAGAACCUUACCAGGGCUUGACAUCCCGGUGACCGGCCUAGAGAUAGGUUUUCCUUUCGGGGCACCGGUGACAGGUGGUGCAUGGUUGUCGUCAGCUCGUGUCGUGAGAUGUUGGGUUAAGUCCCGCAACGAGCGCAACCCCUAUUACUAGUUGCUACGCAAGAGCACUCUAGUGAGACUGCCGUUGACAAAACGGAGGAAGGUGGGGAUGACGUCAAAUCAUCAUGCCCCUUAUGACCUGGGCAACACACGUACUACAAUGGCCGUCAACAAAGGGAAGCAAUACAGCGAUGUGGAGCAAAUCCCCAAAAACGGUCUCAGUCCGGAUUGCAGUCUGCAACUCGACUGCAUGAAGCUGGAAUCGCUAGUAAUCGCAAGUCAGCCAUAUUGCGGUGAAUACGUUCUCGGGCCUUGUACUCACCGCCCGUCA
Molecule: ribosomal RNA, 1391 nt
Filed under: uncultured bacterium
Lineage: Bacteria
Description: bacterial SSU rRNA
Rfam family: Bacterial small subunit ribosomal RNA
Source: RNAcentral